RNAcentral lists this ribosomal RNA (253 nucleotides) under uncultured bacterium. RNAcentral's name for it is "partial 16S ribosomal RNA". It matches the Rfam family "Bacterial small subunit ribosomal RNA", at positions 524 to 776 of the family's 1533-position model. The record is from RNAcentral.
UACGAAGGUUGCUAGCGUUGUUCGGAAUCACUGGGCUUAAAGCGCAUGUAGGCGGCUCUUCAAGUGUCUUGUGAAAUACCCUGGCUCAACCAGGGAAUUGCUGGGCAUACUGUUGAGCUUGAGGCAGGUAGGGAUGUGUGGAACUCUUGGUGGAGCGGUGGAAUGCGUAGAUAUCAAGAGGAACGCCGGAGGCGAAAGCGGCGCAUUGGGCCUGUCCUGACGCUGAGAUGCGAAAGCCAGGGGAGCAAACGGG